RNAcentral lists this small nucleolar RNA (131 nucleotides) under Moschus moschiferus (Siberian musk deer). RNAcentral describes it as "Small nucleolar RNA SNORA44 (ENSMMSG00000017533.1)". It matches the Rfam family "Small nucleolar RNA SNORA44". Rfam says of the family: ACA44 is a member of the H/ACA class of snoRNA that guide the sites of modification of uridines to pseudouridines. Lineage: Eukaryota; Metazoa; Chordata; Mammalia; Artiodactyla; Moschidae. The record is from Rfam by way of RNAcentral.
CAGCAUGUUUCCAAGGGCUGUGGCUUGCUGUGGCCAUGGGAUCUCCAACUGCAUGCAAGAGCAACAUGGAGAGACUUUGACAGCACAGGUCAGCAUAAUACCUGCAGCUGCCACUCGCCUUUCCUAUAAUC